This 341-nucleotide long non-coding RNA is filed under the name Pan troglodytes (chimpanzee). RNAcentral describes it as "long non-coding RNA NONPTRT013132". Lineage: Eukaryota; Metazoa; Chordata; Mammalia; Primates; Hominidae. The record is from RNAcentral.
CCCAGCACUUUGGGAGGCCGAGGCGGGCAGAUCAUGGGAUCAGGAGAUUGAGACCAUCCUGGCUAACAUAGUGAAACCCCGUCUCUACUAAAAAUACAAAAAAAUUAGCCGGGCAUGGUGGCGGGCGCCUGUAGUCCCAGCUACUUGGGAGGCUGAGGCAGGAGAAUGGCGUGAACCCAACAGGCAGAGCUUGCAGUGAGCCUGUGGUUUUGACUUGCAUUUCCCUAAUGGUUAGUGAUGUAUUGUUUCCUUUGCUGUGCAAGAGUGUUUUGCUUUAAUGUAGUCCCACUUGUUUAUUUUUGUUUCUGUUGACUGUGCUUUUGGUAUAAAAUCCAUUAAAU